RNAcentral lists this ribosomal RNA (433 nucleotides) under uncultured bacterium. RNAcentral's name for it is "partial 16S ribosomal RNA". It matches the Rfam family "Bacterial small subunit ribosomal RNA", at positions 29 to 507 of the family's 1533-position model. The record is from RNAcentral.
AACGAACGCUGGCGGCAUGCCUAACACGUGCAAGUCGAACGAGACCUUCGGGUCUAGUGGCGCACGGGUGCGUAACGCGUGGGAACCUGCCCUUAGGUUCGGAAUAACUCCCCGACAGGGGUGCUAAUACCGGAUAAUGUCUUCUGACCAAAGAUUUAUCGCCUUUGGAUGGGCCCGCGUUGGAUUAGCUAGUUGGUAGGGUAAAAGCCUACCAAGGCGACGAUCCAUAGCUGGUAUGAGAGGAUGAUCAGCCACACUGGGACUGAGACACGGCCCAGACUCCUACGGGAGGCAGGAGUGGGGAAUAGUGGACAAUGGGCGAAAGGCUGAAGCAGCAAGGCCGGGUGAGUGAUGAAGGCAUUAGGGUUGUAAAGCUCUUUUAACCGGGAUGAUAAUGACAGUACCGGGAGAAUAAGCCCCGGCUAACUCCGUG